RNAcentral lists this ribosomal RNA (440 nucleotides) under uncultured bacterium. Its description in RNAcentral is "partial 16S ribosomal RNA". It matches the Rfam family "Bacterial small subunit ribosomal RNA", at positions 338 to 795 of the family's 1533-position model. The record is from RNAcentral.
CCUACGGGAGGCAGCAGUGGGGGAUAUUGCACAAUGGGGGGAACCCUGAUGCAGCGACGCCGCGUGGGUGAAGAAGCGCCUCGGCGCGUAAAGCCCUGUCAGCAGGGAAGAAAAUGACGGUACCUGAAGAAGAAGCCCCUGCUAACUACGUGCCAGCAGCCGCGGUAAUACGGAGGGGGCAAGCGUUAUCCGGAUUUACUGGGUGUAAAGGUGGCGCAGACGGCGAUGCAAGCCAGGAGUGAAUGCCCGGGGCCCAACCCCGGGACUGCUCUUGGAACUGGGUGGCUGGAGUGCAGGAGGGGCAGGCGGAAUUCCGGGUGUAGCGGUGAAAUGCGGAGAGAUCAGGAGGAACACCGGUGGCGAAGGCGGCCUGCUGGACUGCAACUGACGUUGAGGCCCGAAAGCGUGGGGAGCAAACAGGAUUAGAUACCCCUGUAGUC